RNAcentral lists this ribosomal RNA (512 nucleotides) under Staphylococcus aureus. RNAcentral's name for it is "partial 23S ribosomal RNA". It matches the Rfam family "Bacterial large subunit ribosomal RNA", at positions 1603 to 2116 of the family's 2925-position model. Lineage: Bacteria; Bacillati; Bacillota; Bacilli; Caryophanales; Staphylococcaceae. The record is from RNAcentral.
CACUGCCGAGAAAAGCCUCUAGAUAGAAAAUAGGUGCCCGUACCGCAAACCGACACAGGUAGUCAAGAUGAGAAUUCUAAGGUGAGCGAGCGAACUCUCGUUAAGGAACUCGGCAAAAUGACCCCGUAACUUCGGGAGAAGGGGUGCUCUUUAGGGUUAACGCCCAGAAGAGCCGCAGUGAAUAGGCCCAAGCGACUGUUUAUCAAAAACACAGGUCUCUGCUAAACCGUAAGGUGAUGUAUAGGGGCUGACGCCUGCCCGGUGCUGGAAGGUUAAGAGGAGUGGUUAGCUUCUGCGAAGCUACGAAUCGAAGCCCCAGUAAACGGCGGCCGUAACUAUAACGGUCCUAAGGUAGCGAAAUUCCUUGUCGGGUAAGUUCCGACCCGCACGAAAGGCGUAACGAUUUGGGCACUGUCUCAACGAGAGACUCGGUGAAAUCAUAGUACCUGUGAAGAUGCAGGUUACCCGCGACAGGACGGAAAGACCCCGUGGAGCUUUACUGUAGCCUGAUA